This 484-nucleotide ribosomal RNA is filed under the name uncultured bacterium. RNAcentral describes it as "partial 16S ribosomal RNA". It matches the Rfam family "Bacterial small subunit ribosomal RNA", at positions 28 to 507 of the family's 1533-position model. The record is from RNAcentral.
AUUGAACGCUGGCGGCAUGCUUUACACAUGCCAGUCGAACGGCAGCGCGGGCUUCGGCCUGGCGGCGAGUGGCGAACGGGUGAGUAAUGCAUCGGAACGUGCCCAGUAGUGGGGGAUAGCCCGGCGAAAGCCGGAUUAAUACCGCAUACGACCUGAGGGUGAAAGCGGGGGACCGAAAGGCCUCGCGCUAUUGGAGCGGCCGAUGUCGGAUUAGCUAGUUGGUGGGGUAAAGGCUUACCAAGGGGACGAUCCGUAGCUGGUCUGAGAGGACGACCAGCCACAAUGGGGCUGGGACACGGCCCAGACUCCUGCGGGAGGGCGCAGUGGGGAAUUUUGGACAAUGGGGGCAACCCUGAUCCAGCCAGGCCGCGUGCGGGAAGAAGGCCUUCGGGUUGUAAACCGCUUUUGUUCGGGAAGAAAUCCUCUGGGCUAAUACCCCGGGGGGAUGACGGUACCGGAAGAAUAAGCACCGGCUAACUACGUG